UAGGGAAUCUUCCACAAUGGACGCAAGUCUGAUGGAGCAACGCCGCGUGAGUGAAGAAGGUUUUCGGAUCGUAAAGCUCUGUUGUUGGUGAAGAAGGAUAGAGGUAGUAACUGGCCUUUAUUUGACGGUAAUCAACCAGAAAGUCACGGCUAACUACGUGCCAGCAGCCGCGGUAAUACGUAGGUGGCAAGCGUUGUCCGGAUUUAUUGGGCGUAAAGCGAGCGCAGGCGGAAGAAUAAGACUGAUGUGAAAGCCCUCGGCUUAACCGAGGAACUGCAUCGGAAACUGUUUUUCUUGAGUGCAGAAGAGGAGAGUGGAAUUCCAUGUGUAGCGGUGGAAUGCGUAGAUAUAUGGAAGAACACCAGUGGCGAAGGCGACUCUCUGGUCUGCAACUGACGCUGAGGCUCGAAAGCAUGGGUAGCGAACAGG
RNAcentral lists this ribosomal RNA (429 nucleotides) under bacterium. RNAcentral describes it as "partial 16S ribosomal RNA". It matches the Rfam family "Bacterial small subunit ribosomal RNA", at positions 355 to 776 of the family's 1533-position model. The record is from RNAcentral.